RNAcentral lists this ribosomal RNA (301 nucleotides) under uncultured bacterium. RNAcentral's name for it is "partial 16S ribosomal RNA". It matches the Rfam family "Bacterial small subunit ribosomal RNA", at positions 509 to 807 of the family's 1533-position model. The record is from RNAcentral.
CAGCCGCCACGGUAAAACGUAGGGUGCGAGCGUUAAUCGGAAUUACUGGGCGUAAAGCGUGCGCAGGCGGUUCGUUAAGACAGAUGUGAAAUCCCCGGGCUUAACCUGGGAACUGCAUUUGUGACUGACGGGCUAGAGUAUGGCAGAGGGGGGUGGAAUUCCGCGUGUAGCAGUGAAAUGCGUAGAUAUGCGGAGGAACACCGAUGGCGAAGGCAGCCCCCUGGGCCAAUACUGACGCUCAUGCACGAAAGCGUGGGGAGCAAACAGGAUUAGAUACCCCCGUAGUCCCUGUCUCUUAUAC